This 492-nucleotide ribosomal RNA is filed under the name uncultured bacterium. RNAcentral describes it as "partial 16S ribosomal RNA". It matches the Rfam family "Bacterial small subunit ribosomal RNA", at positions 30 to 507 of the family's 1533-position model. The record is from RNAcentral.
AUUGAACGCUGGCGGCAUGCUUUACACAUGCAAGUCGAACGGUAACAGGCCUUCGGGUGCUGACGAGUGGCGAACGGGUGAGUAAUGCAUCGGAACGUACCCAGAGGUGGGGGAUAACGCAGCGAAAGCUGUGCUAAUACCUCAUGUGAUCUGAGGAUGAAAGCGGGGGACCGCGCAGCAAUGUUUGGCCUCGCGCCUUUGGAGCGGCCGAUGUCGGAUUAGCUAGUUGGUGGGGUAAAGGCCUACCAAGGCGACGAUCCGUAGCUGGUCUGAGAGGACGACCAGCCACACUGGGACUGAGACACGGCCCAGACUCCUACGGGAGGCAGCAGUGGGGAAUUUUGGACAAUGGGCGCAAGCCUGAUCCAGCAAUGCCGCGUGCGGGAAGAAGGCCUUCGGGUUGUAAACCGCUUUUGGCAGGAACGAAACGGUGUCCGCUAAUACCGGGCGCUAAUGACGGUACCUGCAGAAUAAGCACCGGCUAACUACGUG